AAUAUUUCUCCGCUUUCCCCUUUUGCCCUCGCACUCGCUCUCUCCCCGACAGGCCCCUGGCUACCACUCGCCUCCUCCCCACCCCAGAUCCGUCGACCUCACCUUGCCCACCACCGCUCACCGCCAGCUCCGACGACCCCCACCUUGGCGCCCAUCCACGAGCUGGAGCAGCCGGAUGAGGACGAACCCACCGAGACUGCCUCUUCCUCCAGCGACCACGCCACCCCAGCGCCACCAGGACGUCGCGGCACCACCACCGAGCUUCCAGCUCUCCCCGUCCCAAUCCCCUCCUCCGGCCGGCCGCUCCUUCCGCACCACCAGAAGCAGCACAGGCGGACAGCAGCAGCUGCGCCCGCCUCCCGCCCACGUCAGCAGAAGCCGUGCUCGAUCCGGUCAAAGAUGAUAUUUUUACACGGGCGGCGGUGCUCGAUCCGUUCUGGAGCAGUGGGAGGAGGACGGCGGCGCAGCGGGCUUCUGUUCUUCCCUGCUGUCGAGAAGCAGUCCCGGCCUGUUGACCCGCGCGCCCUCGUCCUGGCCGUGGCCGCUACCUGGGCUGCUCGCAAGGCAGCGCAACAUGUCGGGGUCGCCGACGACCCUGAGGAGGAAGAGGAGUGCUUGGUCCGGCGCUCCGUCUCCUGCACCCUGCCGCCACGCGCUCCUUGAAGAUGCCCAGCCAGCCAUGAAGUAAUUCAAGUUCAAGGAUCUCCUCAAAGGAAAGGAAGAUGGCUGUACUCACAUAUUCUCCAUGUCCCAUCCAUCAGUGAGGACUUGAUGGAAAAUGGAGACGUUUGUAUCAGGGAGUUUGUUGACAAGAGCUCCAUACUGACUACUAUCAGGUUCAAGGAGACUCGUCAUCAUAGUCACUGUUCUAUGUAAUCUAUCAUAACAGUGGCAGUUUCCUCCCUCAAGUUGCUCGGAUCCAGUUAGGCAAACAAAGUAUGCAGUGAACUCUAGUGCAUAAUCUUUUUUGAGGGUACGCCAAAGGCGUACCUUAGCUUUAUACUCAGCCCAUUAUCUCUUACUGCAAUGUAUCUCAGCCCAUUACAACUGAACCAAAUAUAAAUAUAUUACCAUUAGAUGCCCAAGAUUGAAAACACAAAAUGACCUAUCAGAUGCUGAACAUUUUCUUACUUAUUAAGAAAACACUAAGCUAAUUGCUAUUUACUCUGGCUUAUACCUUCAGGUAUGGUUUAGUCAACAUGCAUUUACAUUCUGUAUUCCAACAGUUCUCCCAGUUGUGCAUAUCAUAUUUUGUUGAUUGCAGAAGAGUAUUUAAGAUCAAGAAUUACACUAUUUAUCUUCUCUUUUAGAGAAAAAACAGAUGAAGUAUGCUUAUGUUUCUAACUUUAACAUUCUGGAGUACAGCCUCUUUGAGGAGCGCUAAGCUUAGCAAGGUGGACAGAUGGACCUGUUCAAGUCAGUUUUCUUGGCCCUUGCCUAGCCUAGCCUAGCCUAGCCUAGCUGCUUGAAAGGAAGGGGGCGAUGGAGGUGGUGGCAGAGGCCGGCGCGCAGCAGCCCUGGGACCAGUUCAAGGAGGAGGUGGAGAUCAUGGAGGAGCAGCCGAAGGAGCAGAAAGGAGCAGCGAGCAGCAGCGGCGGCUGACCUCGAGCUCUCGAUUGGAGUGGAGGGAGGCGGCCGACGAGGGAUCUGCGGCCGACGGGGAAGGAUCUGGAGCUGCGGCGGAGCAGGCAACCAGUGGGGAAAGGCGGCCGCCGGUGAGGGAGCUUCUGAUCGCGGCGGGGAAGGGCGACCAAAGAGGGGAUCGGGCUCUGAUUGGAGCGGCGCAGGCAGCCGGCGGGGAAGGACGAGCAACGGAGGAAGACGACGGCCCGAGCGAUUUCAAAUCGGAGGGGGGGGGGGGGGGGGGGGGGGGGGGGGGGGGGGGAGCGAUUUCGUAAUUUCACUUGUUUUCACCUGGUCGGAACCCCCCCAACGACAAUUAUUUCGGAACGGAGGGAGUAUUAUAUUAUAUUUACUAAUUGGAGGCACUAA
Non-coding RNA from Triticum urartu, 1992 nucleotides. The record is from RefSeq and is a predicted model, not a curated record. NCBI's taxonomy places the organism in Eukaryota, Viridiplantae, Streptophyta, Magnoliopsida, Poales, Poaceae.